Molecule: long non-coding RNA, 329 nt
Organism: Sinocyclocheilus grahami
Lineage: Eukaryota; Metazoa; Chordata; Actinopteri; Cypriniformes; Cyprinidae
Exons: 3
Source: RefSeq, a predicted model, not a curated record
AAUGACUGGAUCCAGUAUUUCAAAAGUGCUGACGUCCCCAUUCUCAGCCCUCCUGCCCCUGUCUAUGACAUCAUUUACACUCCAACACAGAAACAGGCUCCAGAGUUUGACAGGUGGAGCGGCAGCAGCCAUGGAGCUACCGACCCACUAAGGCAGUCCCAGGACAAACGCAGAUCCCAUGAGCUCCAGCUGCCCAGUGCCGAUGACAACCCUAUUUCCCCUGGUUAUGCUGAGCCUCACUGUUUCAUUUCCAGCAGGCCUAACUCUUCAGACACACAGUACUCAGCUCACCUGGGCAGCAGGAGCAGCAGCUUCUCCUCUCGUGUCCG